RNAcentral lists this ribosomal RNA (619 nucleotides) under uncultured bacterium. RNAcentral's name for it is "bacterial SSU rRNA". It matches the Rfam family "Bacterial small subunit ribosomal RNA", at positions 338 to 1533 of the family's 1533-position model. The record is from RNAcentral.
CCUACGGGAGGCAGCAGUGAGGAAUAUUGGACAAUGGGCGCAAGCCUGAUCCAGCCAUGCCGCGUGCAGGAAGAAGCAUCUAUGGUGUGUAAACUGCUUUUGUACAGGAAGAAACACUCCCUCGUGAGGGAGCUUGACGGUACUGUAAGAAUAAGGACCGGCUAACUCCGUGCCAGCAGCCGCGGUAAUACGGAGGGUCCGAGCGUUAUCCGGAAUCAUUGGGUUUAAAGGGUCCGUAGGCGGUUUAAUAAGUCAGUGGUGAAAUCUGGUCGCUCAACGAUCAAACGGCCAUUGAUACUGUUAGACUUGAAUUAUAAGGAAGUAACUAGAAUAUGUAGUGUAGCGGUGAAAUGCUUAGAUAUUACAUGGAAUACCAAUUGCGAAGGCAGGUUACUACUUAUGGAUUGACGCUGAUGGACGAAAGCGUGGGGAGCGAACAGGAUUAGAUACCCUGGUAGUCCACGCCGUAAACGAUGGAUACUAGCUGUUCGGAGCAAUCUGAGUGGCUAAGCGAAAGUGAUAAGUAUCCCACCUGGGGAGUACGUUCGCAAGAAUGAAACUCAAAAGUAGAAGUUACGGACGGNGAGAGAGACGACGACGACGACGAGGAGGGAGGAGG